GCCAAAUGCUGACGAUUGUGGUCGAGCCGUCGAGGACAUGUAUUGCCGUUACGUAAAUUGCACUGUGGGACGAAGAUCGAUAUGGAGAUAUUUGUCUUCGGAUACAACGAAGAACCCUCCAACAAAAGCUGCAAAGAAAAAGCGGAAACCAAAGAAACACUAUGCUGAGGUUUUACAAGUGGGCGCCAAUUCGGCCAGCCUCGUGCAGAGGCGCGUGGCCAAGCUGGACCCGGCGCUGUGGCCGGGCGUGCGCGCCGGCCCGGCCAGCGCCGAGCCGGCCCAGCCGCCGGUGCCGCCCGACGCCAGGCUGUCCGAGGCC
Molecule: long non-coding RNA, 319 nt
Filed under: Pollicipes pollicipes
Lineage: Eukaryota; Metazoa; Arthropoda; Thecostraca; Pollicipedomorpha; Pollicipedidae
Description: uncharacterized LOC119106337
Source: RNAcentral